RNAcentral lists this long non-coding RNA (494 nucleotides) under Heterocephalus glaber (naked mole-rat). Its description in RNAcentral is "lncRNA (ENSHGLG00000033282.1)". The record is from RNAcentral. Lineage: Eukaryota; Metazoa; Chordata; Mammalia; Rodentia; Bathyergidae.
GUUGACGCCAGGAAGCUGUGGGUUACAAUGGGCAGACAGAGGUGGUAAAGCAGCCCAGCCCCCAGAUCAGAAAAGGCCACAGAGCUUCAGUCCAAGGAGAAAUGGCUUCAGGUGCGGCUGCAUCCAGGUGCUCAUGUGUUGUGGACAGAAACACCUUUCUGCAUCUUUGGCUCUGCAUUCUCCUCCCUGGGCCUUAUUCUCUGGCUAGUUCUUCCUCUGAGUGACAAGGAUCUGGGUUUACACUGUCUCAGAGUGGCAACUCCAGCAGAAAGAGCACACCUCCUUCGGCAGACAAGGACACUGAGGCACAGAGAGAUAGGUGGCUCAUCAGUCACAGACCGGAGUGCUGGCUCGGGAACAGGACGAGCUGCAGGGGACACAGCUGGUGUGGACAAUGAUUCCCCCGAUCCCGUAGCUGCUGCCUGCUCCCUGCCCUGGGCAGCACCAGAAGCUUCAGGGAUCUGGAGUCCAAGUCAGCCAUCGGGCACAGUGCC